GACGAACGCUGGCGGCGUGCUUAACACAUGCAAGUCGAACGGAAAGGCCCUGCUUUUGUGGGGUGCUCGCGUGGCGAACGGGUGAGUAACACGUGAGUAACCUGCCCUUGACUUUGGGAUAACUUCAGGAAACUGGGGCUAAUACCGGAUAGGAGCUCCUGCUGCAUGGUGGGGGUUGGAAAGUUUCGGCGGUUGGGGAUGGACUCUCGGCUUAUCAGCUUGUUGGUGGGGUAGUGGCUUACCAAGGCUUUGACGGGUAGCCGGCCUGAGAGGGUGACCGGCCACAUUGGGACUGAGAUACGGCCCAGACUCCUACGGGAGGCAGCAGUGGGGAAUAUUGCACAAUGGGCGGAAGCCUGAUGCAGCAACGCCGCGUGCGGGAUGACGGCCUUCGGGUUGUAAACCGCUUUCGCCUGUGACGAAGCGUGAGUGACGGUAAUGGGUAAAGAAGCACCGGCUAACUACGUG
This 468-nucleotide ribosomal RNA is filed under the name uncultured bacterium. RNAcentral describes it as "partial 16S ribosomal RNA". It matches the Rfam family "Bacterial small subunit ribosomal RNA", at positions 28 to 507 of the family's 1533-position model. The record is from RNAcentral.